CCUACGGGAGGCAGCAGUGAGGAAUAUUGGUCAAUGGGCGGGAGCCUGAACCAGCCAAGUCGCGUGAGGGAAGACGGUCCUCUGGAUUGUAAACCUCUUUAGGCGGGGAGCAAUGCCGGCAACGCGUGCCCGGAGGGAGAGUACCUGCAGAAUAAGCAUCGGCUAACUCAGUGCCAGCAGCCGAGGUAAGACGGAGGAUGCGAGCGUUAUCCGGAUUUACUGGGUGUAAAGGGAGCGUAGGCGGCUGGCCAAGUCAGAAGUGAAAGCCCGGGGCUUAACCCCGGAACGGCUGUGGAAACUGGCCGGCUGGAGUGCUGGAGAGGCAGGCAGAAUUCCUGGUGUAGCGGUGAAAUGAGUAGAGAUCAGGAGGAACACCGGUGGCGAAGGCGGCCUGCUGGACAGUAACUGACGUUGAGGCUCGAAAGCGUGGGGAGCAAACAGGAUUAGAUACCCUAGUAGUC
This 461-nucleotide ribosomal RNA is filed under the name uncultured bacterium. RNAcentral's name for it is "partial 16S ribosomal RNA". It matches the Rfam family "Bacterial small subunit ribosomal RNA", at positions 338 to 795 of the family's 1533-position model. The record is from RNAcentral.